UACAGAGGUCCCAAGCGUUGUUCGGAUUCACUGGGCGUAAAGGGUGCGUAGGCGGUCGGGUAAGUCUGACGUGAAAUCUCCAAGCUCAACUUGGAAAUGGCGUCGGAUACUAUUCGGCUCGAGGAGUGGAGGGGAGACUGGAAUUCUCGGUGUAGCAGUGAAAUGCGUAGAUAUCGAGAGGAACACCUGCGGCGAAGGCGGGUUGCUGGGCUGACACUGACGCUGAUGCGCGAAAGCCAGGGGAGCGAACGGG
Molecule: ribosomal RNA, 253 nt
Filed under: uncultured bacterium
Lineage: Bacteria
Description: partial 16S ribosomal RNA
Rfam family: Bacterial small subunit ribosomal RNA
Source: RNAcentral